AGAGUUUGAUCMUGGCUCAGAACAAACGCUGGCGGCGUGUCUUAAGCAUGCAAGUCGAGCGGCAGGCGCAGCAAUGCGCUGAGAGCGGCGGACUGGUGAGUAACGCGUGGGUAAUCUACCUUUGGCAUGGGGAUAGCCACUAGAAAUAGUGGGUAAUACCGAAUACGUUCCCUGGGGGGAGGUUUCAGGGAAGAAAGGGUGCUACGGCACCGGCCAAAGAUGAGCUCGCGUCCCAUUAGCUAGUUGGUGAGGUAAUGGCCCACCAAGGCGAUGAUGGGUAGCCGGCCUGAGAGGGUGUACGGCCACACUGGGACUGAGAUACGGCCCAGACUCCUACGGGAGGCAGCAGUGRGGAAUAUUSSRCAAUGGRCGMAAGYCUGAYSSAGCSAYGCCGCGUGRRUGAUGAAGGCCKWARGGUUGUAAACUCCUGUCGAGGGGGAGCAAGGGCCGGUGAAUAGCCGGCCUUGAGCGAUCCCUGGAGGAAGCACGGGCUAAGUUCGUGCCAGCAGCCGCGGUAAUA
Molecule: ribosomal RNA, 520 nt
Filed under: bacterium enrichment culture clone Cont40_3131
Lineage: Bacteria
Description: partial 16S ribosomal RNA
Rfam family: Bacterial small subunit ribosomal RNA
Source: RNAcentral